This 433-nucleotide ribosomal RNA is filed under the name uncultured bacterium. RNAcentral describes it as "partial 16S ribosomal RNA". It matches the Rfam family "Bacterial small subunit ribosomal RNA", at positions 29 to 507 of the family's 1533-position model. The record is from RNAcentral.
AACGAACGCUGGCGGCAUGCCUAACACAUGCAAGUCGAACGAGACCUUCGGGUCUAGUGGCGCACGGGUGCGUAACGCGUGGGAACCUGCCCUUAGGUUCGGAAUAACUCCCCGAAAGGGGUGCUAAUACCGGAUAAUGUCUUCGGACCAAAGAUUUAUCGCCUUUGGAUGGGCCCGCGUUGGAUUAGCUAGUUGGUAGGGUAAAAGCCUACCAAGGCGACGAUCCAUAGCUGGUCUGAGAGGAUGAUCAGCCACACUGGGACUGAGACACGGCCCAGACUCCUACGGGAGGCAGCAGUGGGGAAUAUUGGACAAUGGGCGAAAGCCUGAUCCGGCAAUGCCGCGUGAGUGAUGAAGGCCUUAGGGCUGUAAAGCUCUUUUACCCGGGAUGAUAAUGACAGUACCGGGAGAAUAAGCUCCGGCUAACUCCGUG